CAGUCGCCGCGGUAAUACGUAGGGCGCAAGCGUUGUCCGGAAUUAUUGGGCGUAAAGAGCUCGUAGGCGGUCUGUCGCGUCUGGUGUGAAAUCCCGAGGCUCAACCUCGGGCUUGCAUCGGGUACGGGCAGACUAGAGUGCGGUAGGGGAGACUGGAAUUCCUGGUGUAGCGGUGGAAUGCGCAGAUAUCAGGAGGAACACCGAUGGCGAAGGCAGGUCUCUGGGCCGCAACUGACGCUGAGGAGCGAAAGCAUGGGGAGCGAACAGGAUUAGAGACCCGAGUAGUCCCUGUCUCUUAUAC
Molecule: ribosomal RNA, 301 nt
Filed under: uncultured bacterium
Lineage: Bacteria
Description: partial 16S ribosomal RNA
Rfam family: Bacterial small subunit ribosomal RNA
Source: RNAcentral